Molecule: ribosomal RNA, 591 nt
Filed under: uncultured bacterium
Lineage: Bacteria
Description: bacterial SSU rRNA
Rfam family: Bacterial small subunit ribosomal RNA
Source: RNAcentral
GAUGAACGCUAGCGGUGUGCCUAAUGCAUGCAAGUCGAACGGGAACUUUUGGAUUCGUCUGAAAGUGAGAGUGGCGAACGGGUGAGUAACACGUAGGUGACCUGCCCUAGAGAGGGGAAUAACCAGUGGAAACGCUGGCUAAAACUCCAGAUGUCAGUGGGCUUAGAAAGCACUGACUAAAACUCCGGUGCUCUAGGAGGGGCCUGCGGCCCAUCAGCUAGUUGGUAGGGUAACGGCCUACCAAGGCAUAGACGGGUAGGGGGCGUGAGAGCGUGACCCCCCACACUGGUACUGAGACACGGACCAGAUACCUACGGGUAGCAGCAGCAAGGAAUAUUGCCCAAUGGACGCAAGUCUGAGGCAGCAACGCCGCGUGGAGGACGAAGGCUUUCGGGUCGUAAACUCCUUUUCUGGGGGAUGAGAAAGGACAGUACCCCAGGAAUAAGUCUCGGCUAACUACGUGCCAGCAGCCGCGGUAAAACGUAGGAGGCGAGCGUUAUCCGGAAUUACUGGGCGUAAAGCGCAUGCAGGCGGUUCUUUAAGUCGGACGUGAAAGCUCCUGGCUCAACUGGGAGAGGCCGUUCGAAACUA